AUGCCGGUGCACUUACUCCUCGCCCCGAGUCUUCAUUCCUCCAUCCUCAAGAAGAUCACCAAGAUUAUCCGCGAUUUCCUCUGGUUUGGCCGCAAGGACGCCAACUCUGGCUGCUGCUUCGUCAGCUGGCCUAAGCUGUUGCGGCCACUUGAGCUUGGGGGCCUCGCCGUGCGCGACAUACACUGCACUGUCAUCGCUCUCCGCACCCGAUGGCUGUGGUUGCAGGCCACAGACCCAUCGCGUCCCUGGAGCCACCUCCAGCUCCCGCACGACGAGGAGGUCCAGCAGUUCUUUCAGGCAUCCACUUGCUGGACCGUUGGGGACGGCAAGUCUUGCCGCUUCUGGUGUGAUCAUUGGAUCGAGGGAUCAUCCAUCAGCUUCUGGUGUGAUCAUUGGAUCGAGGGAUCAUCCAUCAGCGAGAUUGCCCCGACACUACUCCCGCUCGUCCCGCGCAGGCGACGGCGCUCACGCAUCAUCUCCGGCGCGCUCCAUGACAACCUCUGGAUCUGCGACAUCCACGGCUCCUUAAGCCAUGCCGCUGUCGUCGAGUAUGUCGAUUUGUGGCGACGACUACAGCGAGUACAUCUGACCGCCGACCCUGACAAGAUCACCUGGAAAUGGACGGCUAACGGCACCUACAGCGCUGGCUCGGCCUACAAAGCCUUGUUCGCCGGAUCGAUUGGCUCUUCGUUCUGGCGCCUCAUUUGGCGCUGCUGGGCUCCCACUAAUGCCAAAUUCUUCCUCUGGCUUGCCUCCAUGGACCGUUGCUGGACCGCCGAGAGGCGCGCUCGCCAUGGACUCCCACACGACCCGCUAUGCAAGUUCUGCUGCCAGGAGCCUGAGACCAUCGACCAUAUCUUGGUCCAAUGCGCCUUCUCUCGAAUCACAUGGCACGAGGUUCUCUCAUGGUGCAGACCGCCGACCUCCGCCCCACCCACUGCCUCGGCGACCUUCUAUGCCUAG
Molecule: ribosomal RNA, 963 nt
Filed under: Triticum aestivum (bread wheat)
Lineage: Eukaryota; Viridiplantae; Streptophyta; Magnoliopsida; Poales; Poaceae
Description: partial small subunit ribosomal RNA
Source: RNAcentral